ACAAAAUAGACCGAGCACGCGUCAUCCAUCCUGCUGGGCGCCGGAUCCGUCCGUCGCUUGGCCAAACACCUCGAAUAACCACCUCUCUUUGGAGAAGUGGCUCGGGGUAAAAGAACCCACGGCGCCGAAGGCGUCAAGGAAAACUGUGCCUAACCCGGGGACGCGGCUUGCUUGCUGGUCGCCCCCCGUGUUGCAAUGCUAUUUAAUCCACACGACUCUCGGCAACGGAUAUCUCGGCUCUCGCAUCGAUGAAGAACGUAGCGAAAUGCGAUACCUGGUGUGAAUUGCAGAAUCCCGCGAACCAUCGAGUCUUUGAACGCAAGUUGCGCCCGAGGCCUUUUGGCCGAGGGCACGCCUGCCUGGGCGUCACGCCAAACACGCUCCCAACCCAUAACCUGGGUCGGGAUGCGGCAUGUGGCUCCCCGUCUUGCAAGAGGCGGUGAGCCUAAGAUUUGGCUGCCGGCGUAUCGUGCCGGACACAGCGCGUGGUAGGCGACCUCGCUUUACUAAUCGCAGUGCAUCCGGAACCUAGCCGACUCUAUGGCCUCAAUAGACCCUAUUCACGGAGCGUUUGACGUUUCGACC
Molecule: unclassified non-coding RNA, 585 nt
Filed under: Cynosurus cristatus
Lineage: Eukaryota; Viridiplantae; Streptophyta; Magnoliopsida; Poales; Poaceae
Description: sequence contains ITS1, 5.8S rRNA gene and ITS2
Rfam family: 5.8S ribosomal RNA (bases 214-369)
Source: RNAcentral